This 227-nucleotide ribosomal RNA is filed under the name uncultured bacterium. RNAcentral describes it as "partial 16S ribosomal RNA". It matches the Rfam family "Bacterial small subunit ribosomal RNA", at positions 103 to 334 of the family's 1533-position model. The record is from RNAcentral.
CGGGUGAGUAACACAUCGGAACGUGCCCAGUAGUGGGGAUAACCCGGCGAAAGCCGGACUAAUACCGCAUACGACCUACGGGUGAAAGCAGGGGAUCGCAAGACCUUGCGCUAUUGGAGCGGCCGAUGUCAGAUUAGCUAGUUGGCGGGGUAAGAGCCCACCAAGGCGACGAUCUGUAGCUGGUCUGAGAGGACGACCAGCCACACUGGGACUGAGACACGGCCCAG